GCCAAAUGAUGUCACCUAGAUGGCACGAGCCCUCUGUGCAAAGAUGACCUUCACCUAUCACCCAGUGCUGAUGGCU
Molecule: small nucleolar RNA, 76 nt
Organism: Rhea pennata
Lineage: Eukaryota; Metazoa; Chordata; Aves; Rheiformes; Rheidae
Product: small nucleolar RNA SNORD83
Exons: 1
Source: RefSeq, a predicted model, not a curated record